AUGAUUGCAAAUGGGUUGCCUUCGGUGCUGGCUCCUUGAAAGAGCAAGUGCACGUUGGUGGCUUUCAUCCAAUACCCUUGUGAACCUAGGCCUCUUGCUAGCUUCGGCUGGUGGAGGAUUUUUAUACAUACACACUCGAAUGUAAUGAAAAACUAUUGUCGUGCGCAAGCACUAAUGUA
This 179-nucleotide unclassified non-coding RNA is filed under the name uncultured fungus. Its description in RNAcentral is "sequence contains ITS1, 5.8S rRNA gene". RNAcentral also lists the same sequence under 1 other name. The record is from RNAcentral. Lineage: Eukaryota; Fungi.